Molecule: long non-coding RNA, 232 nt
Organism: Salarias fasciatus (jewelled blenny)
Lineage: Eukaryota; Metazoa; Chordata; Actinopteri; Blenniiformes; Blenniidae
Exons: 3
Source: RefSeq, a predicted model, not a curated record
UGGCCCGGCUGAGGAUCCUCUCCCUAUGAAUGCGCGGUUUGUCCGGUAAAGAUUCGGCCCUUUGUGAAAGCCCUAAUUGCAAAAAAAAAAAAAAAAAAAGUGAAACGCAUGAAAGCCAGUAAUUAAUAUCGAGCCAAAUAUUUCCAGAGCUGCCCACUCCUUCCUGUUUCUAUUUGAACGAGCAAGGUAAGCAGAGGGAGAAGGGAGUGGAAAAGUGGGAAAAGGGGCUUUA